AGGAUGAACGCUGGCGGCGUGCUUAACACAUGCAAGUCGAACGAUGAAGGCUGGAGCUUGCUCUGGCUGGAUUAGUGGCGAACGGGUGAGUAACACGUGAGUAACCUGCCCCUGACUCUGGGAUAAGCGCUGGAAACGGCGUCUAAUACCGGAUACGAGCUUCCACCGCAUGGUGAGGAGCUGGAAAGUAAUUUCGGUCUGGGAUGGACUCGCGGCCUAUCAGCUUGUUGGUGAGGUAAUGGCUCACCAAGGCGACGACGGGUAGCCGGCCUGACGAGGGUGACCGGCCACACGUGGGACUGGACGACACGGCCCAGACCUCCGUAACGGGAGGCAGCAGUGGGAAUAUUGCACAGUGGCGCAAGCCUGAUGCAGACAACGCCGCGUGAGGACGAA
This 396-nucleotide ribosomal RNA is filed under the name uncultured soil bacterium. RNAcentral describes it as "bacterial SSU rRNA". It matches the Rfam family "Bacterial small subunit ribosomal RNA", at positions 26 to 412 of the family's 1533-position model. The record is from RNAcentral.